UACAAUGCCACAGAUUUU
This 18-nucleotide non-coding RNA is filed under the name Mus musculus (house mouse). Lineage: Eukaryota; Metazoa; Chordata; Mammalia; Rodentia; Muridae. The record is from RNAcentral.